RNAcentral lists this ribosomal RNA (465 nucleotides) under uncultured bacterium. RNAcentral describes it as "partial 16S ribosomal RNA". It matches the Rfam family "Bacterial small subunit ribosomal RNA", at positions 28 to 507 of the family's 1533-position model. The record is from RNAcentral.
GACGAACGCUGGCGGCGUGCUUAACACAUGCAAGUCGAACGGAAAGGCCCCUUUGGGGGUACUCGAGUGGCGAACGGGUGAGUAACACGUGAGUAACCUGACCUUGACUUUGGGAUAACUUCAGGAAACUGGGGCUAAUACCGGAUAGGAAUCAUUGAUGCAUGGUGGGGGUUGGAAAGCUUCGGCGGUUUUGGCUGGACUCGCGGCUUAUCUGCUUGUUGGUGGGGUGGUGGCUUACCAAGGCUUUGACGGGAAGCCGGCCUGUGAGGGCGACCGGCCACAUUGGGACUGAGAUACGGCCCAGACUCCUACGGGAGGCAGCAGUGGGGAAUAUUGCACAAUGGGCGGAAGCCUGAUGCAGCAACGCCGCGUGCGGGAUGACGGCCUUCUGGUUGUAAACCGCUUUCAGCAGGAGCGAAGCUUGUGGUGACGGUACCUGCAGAAGAAGCACCGGCUAACUACGUG